Molecule: signal recognition particle RNA, 299 nt
Filed under: Cebus imitator (Panamanian white-faced capuchin)
Lineage: Eukaryota; Metazoa; Chordata; Mammalia; Primates; Cebidae
Description: Metazoan signal recognition particle RNA (ENSCCAG00000014234.1)
Rfam family: Metazoan signal recognition particle RNA
About the family: The signal recognition particle (SRP) is a universally conserved ribonucleoprotein. It is involved in the co-translational targeting of proteins to membranes.
Source: RNAcentral
GCUGGGCGCAGUGGUGCGUGCCUGUAGUCCCACCUACUCGGGAGGCUGAGGUGGGAGGAUCGCUUGAGCCCAGGAGUUCUGGGCUGUAAUGCCUUAUGCCAAUUGGGUGUCCGUACUAAGUUUGGCAUCGAUAUGGUGACCUCCAGGGAGCGGGGGACCACCAGGUUGCCUAAGGAGGGGUGAACCGGCCCAGGUCGGAAACGGAGCAGGUCAAAACUCCCAUGCUGAUUAGUAGUGGGAUCGUGCCUGUGAACAGCCACUGCACUCCAGCCUGGGCAACAUAGUGAGACCCCAGCUCU